CACAGGCGAGGAUGCCGGAAGGAACACCGACUCAGGAUGAGGGUCAGGAACGCCAGGAGGCGAAGACACAGGAGUUGCCAGGGAGGCAGGCGUCCGGAGACGUUUUUUUAGGGAAAUGGAGUACGACACGGAGCGUUCAGCGCCAAGGGAUAACAGGGUGUGUUGUAGGGCUACAGGGAUUGUCAGACCCGUAAUGGGUUGUGAGUCAGGAAAAAAGGCGACAGAUUGCUCUGUCGCCUUUUUUCUUUGCCUGCUU
This 256-nucleotide small RNA is filed under the name [Enterobacter] lignolyticus SCF1. The record is from RNAcentral. Lineage: Bacteria; Pseudomonadati; Pseudomonadota; Gammaproteobacteria; Enterobacterales; Enterobacteriaceae.